Molecule: RNA transcript, 3521 nt
Organism: Caretta caretta (loggerhead turtle)
Lineage: Eukaryota; Metazoa; Chordata; Testudines; Cheloniidae
Gene name: hepatic and glial cell adhesion molecule-like
Source: RefSeq, a predicted model, not a curated record
GUGCCUGAGGGUGAGAGCAGCGCGCAGAGCCGUUUCCCGUUUCCCGCACCGUCGCUUAGGAGUCGGGCCUGCUGGCCUCUUCCGGGGUGCAAGCACAGUGCCAGACAGAAAGGGAACUUGCCAUAGCUCCCCAGCACUGCUGACCAGGAGCCACCCAAGGUGUCUCACCCUGGUGGAGCUAUGGCAUUUACGGGUACCCUGGCUAUCUGGGCUACGCUAUUGUCAUCUUCUACAUCUUCAGCUGGGUGAAAAGGACCAGGAAAAGCAGCUCCAAAGGCCAGUCAGAUACCAUUUAUGAAAACACGACUUUUGAAACACCCCCCACAAACAGCUGUAAAAGAGUUCCCCCUGUCUACAUAAAAUACGUCAAGAAGUAAUCUUAAAGGGUAGGAGAAAGACUGGUUUCUAUUCAGAGUGGCUUUGUUUUAUUAUGUGUACAAAAUACUCAGCCUGUCCUGCUAGUGUGCACGUCCCAGUGUUGAUGGGAAGAGAUGGCUUCAGAAAGAAAGAAAGAAAGAAAGAAGAGCUCUACAGAUGGAGUAAAACUGCCUUUGUCCACACUAGCUGCAUGCACCUGUCUACCUACCUGUGGUACUUACAUGAACUCCUGCUUCCAAAGUAUCUGAGCACAUGACAAUCUUUAAUUAUUUACUUCGCCUCGCAACACCCAUUGGUUUCCCCAUUUUACAGGCGGGGAACUGAGAUGCUAAGUGACUUGCCCCAGAUCACACAGAGUCUGUGGGUUUGUCUACACCAUGCAGCUUUUAGCGACAAGGCUGUGUCAACACAGCCUUGUUGCUAAAAGUCAGCGUGUGUAAAUGCUCUUUUUCAGUACUUUGUCAGCACUUUACGUCCAGCCCAGUGAGUGCUCCUGCCGACAAAGCUGCGUUCACACUGCCACUUGCGUUGGCAAAACUUUUGUCUUUCACUGGGGGGGGGGGGGGGGGCUUUUCCAAGUACCCAUGAAAGACAAAAUGUUGUCAACAACUUCGCAGUGUAGACCAGCCCUCAGGCAGAGAAGGAAAUUGAAUCCCAGUUUCCCAAGUUCCAGGUUAGCCCUCCAACCAUUGGACCACCCAGCACCAACCCGUGUUGGUGAAGAUAUGCAUUGUCCUUCUGGGAGGAGCCCUCUUCAAUGUUUCCAUUUUAUGCAUAUACAUUACUUCAUUUACAUAAGUGAACCAAGCUACAGCAUUGCAAAAUAAAAGCACUGUGCUCAAUAUCUCCCCAAGUUGCCUCAUCCUCCCACCACCUUGUAGAUCAUUUACCUUCAGCUCCGCUGCUAUGCCCACAGCACCCUCAGGAACAAUCUGAGUCGUGGCCUUCUUCAAUGGGCAGGAUUUUCUCCAUGAAGUGGGAUGACAGUUCUUCACAGCGCUUAGUGCUGGGUUCUGCCUAGGCUUGAAGAAAGUCUUUGCUUCCUUCUGUCUGUUUCAGCUUUUGUUUUCCCAUCAUCGACACUCCCGUUUCUACCCCUCUCUCUUUGUCUGGCACAGGGUGUCAGAAAACCAUAGAGAUCUAUGGGUGAUAGGGAGGAAGGGGCAGUUUAGGGGCCAAUGCAUUGAGGAUAGUGCACAAGGGUAAUAAUUCACCAGAUCCUCGACUCCUUGUCUUUUGCGUGGAUUGCUGCUGUCCUAUUGGCACGCUUUGGAAUUUGGUGGGGUCUUAGUGGUCAAAUCAGACUUGUGGGUCUUUCACGGAAAGUGGGAGAGCUCUGACCACUAUCUUCAUGAGGUGAUGAUCUAAGAUAGGGCUUGGGCUGUGAUGUCCUCCAUAUUGACAUCUAAACCAAGGAUCAGGUCCAAGGUGCGACUGGCUGUGUGGAUUCGCCCAAAGAGGUGAGAAUCAUAGAGAGGCAAGAGUCAAUAUGCAUGUUGAAAUCUUCCAGGACAAGUCUAAAAUAUGUCACCACCACCAUAAGCAAGGUAUCUGUGAGCUCCUUUAUGAACUCUUACAGUCUAUCAAAGGAUAAAAUCAGCAUGACAUUUCUAAGCUUGGUUUCUCUUUACCUCUGACCUUGCUAAAUCCAGUUAUGAGCAGGCAAUCUUAGAACUAUUGGUGGCUCCUUCUCGGACUUUAAAAUUAAUUUGGCUAAAUCUUCUGGUUUCUCUUCAGCACACCAGCACCGGUGCAAACAGGUUUUCUGUCGGACAACGCGGGGAUGUGUGUGUUAUUUAUCCAUCUGUUCACAUGUAAACUGAGUAUUGUCUGAUUCUCAAUGGGCUUCCUAUCAAGCCUGAACUGUAUGGAAAUGAAGGAUGCUGUGGGGAGGGGGACUUCAGACAUAUCUAACGGGAAGAGAAGACUAGAAGGGGGAAGGGAACCUUAUCUGGGGGGAGCACUUUGAAGGUUUGCUUGACUGUAUUUGUGGGGCAGAGAAGAUGCCUGAGCACCUUUCAUGGGGGAAGCUACAAGCUUGAUGGAAAAAAGCUGAAGAGAACACUGAGUGAGAUCAAACUUCUUUAGACAGGAAGUUAAUCUCUUAGUUAAAUUUAGUCUCUUGAAAGCGUGUUAUGAUUUUGCUUUACAUGUAACCACCUGUUCCCAGUAUUCUCACUCACUGUUACCUGGAUCUCUAAACUUUGAUAAUAUAUUUAUACUGAAAACAAGAAUAAGUUUGUCUAAGUGCUGUGCAAAGUGCUGGUGCUGAGCUGAAUCUUACAAGCGGGUGGGUACUGUCCCUUUGGGAAUAACAGGCCUGGUGGCUCUGGAGUGUGCACUGGUUCAGGGGCUGGAAGCUGCAGGGAAUGAUCUGAGGAAUCGGGGGUUGAUGUGUGCCUAGCGCUACCUCUACAGACAGAGCCAGGCCUGCGGGGCCCUGGAAGGCAGGGCUUGUGUUGGCAGGGGCUAGUGGAUUCAGGGAGCUGAUCCACAGCAGGCACAGACAAGGCUGUCUCCUGUGAAGGUAGUGUUGCCAACCCUUCAAAUUGUCCUGGAGUUUCCAGGAAUUACAGAUUAAUCUGUAAUUAAAGAUUAUGUCCUGUGAUGAAACUUCCAGGAAUAUGUCCAACCAAAAUUGGCAACCCUAUGCGAAAGGCAAGUGGUUGUGAGGUGCCUGAUAAUCCAGGGUACCCCUGGGGAAUGUCAUUCCAGGUCAAUAGUACAUACACAUACUGUGAGACUACACUAUAGAGACUGAGAAGAUCAGAGAGGAACCUGUCUGCAUGUGUUGGGAGGUCAGACUAGAUCAGUGGUUCUCAACCUAUUUAUCAUUGUGGGCCACAUCCAAUACUACCUAUAUGGCCCUAAGGGUGUCACAUGGACCGCAGCUGUGUGCUGAUUGGGCUGCAAGUGGCCCACGGGUUCAGAACCACUGGACUACAUGAUCACAAUGGUCCCUUCUGGUCUUGGAAUCUAUGAACCCACGUAUUGAAACAUAUGAUAGCAACAAAGUGGGGAAGUCUGUAUAAAGAACACCAGUAGGCUUACUGGCUAAUAGCUUGGGUUAAGAAGUUACUCAAAAGUCUUCCAAAAUCUGUUUGCAAAUGUUUGUGUAUGUAUUAAAUAUUUGCUCCCUAAGA